GUGAGGAAUUUUCCGCAAUGGGCGAAAGCCUGACGGAGCAAUGCCGCGUGAAGGAUGAAGGCCUAUGGGUUGUAAACUUCUUUUCUCAGAAAAGAAUUAUGACGGUAUCUGAGGAAUAAGCAUCGGCUAACUCUGUGCCAGCAGCCGCGGUAAGACAGAGGAUGCAAGCGUUAUCCGGAAUGAUUGGGCGUAAAGCGUCUGUAGGUUGUUUAAAAAGUAUUCUGUCAAAGAUUAGGGCUUAACCCUAGAUAGGCAGAAUAAACUUUUAAGCUAGAGUUUGGUAGAGGCAGAGGGAAUGCCCGGUGGAGCGGUGAAAUGCGUAGAUAUCGGGAGGAACACCAAAGGCGAAGGCACUCUGCUGGGCCAAUACUAACACUGAGAGACGAAAGCGAGGGGAGCAAAUGGGAUUAGAUACCCGGGUAGUCC
This 426-nucleotide ribosomal RNA is filed under the name uncultured bacterium. RNAcentral describes it as "bacterial SSU rRNA". It matches the Rfam family "Bacterial small subunit ribosomal RNA", at positions 354 to 796 of the family's 1533-position model. The record is from RNAcentral.